GUAACUAACAAGUAAUUAGAAACAAACAAACGAGCAGAACGACUGUAUUUCUGCAGUUAAUAUGAUCUUUCACGCGAUUUAACUUUACAAAGUAGGAAGAAGAUGGUAGGAAUAGACUAUAUCUUAAGAUCUUUUCUUUGUUUUAUUAAAAGUUGUCACUAUGCUGUUUGGUUUUCAGAUUAAGGAGGACAUUCUCGUGGCUGACGAGCACGCGCCUCCCACAUCCACCUCAGACUUCUGUAAGACUAAAAGCUCCUUUAAUUUGGAAGAGCGAAUAGAUUUGAUAACCGCAGUGUGCCAUCUCUUUAGGGAAGCUGCGUCACUCACAGGCUCUAACAACGCAUGUCAUGAACCUCUCAAGUAAGUUGGUAAAUAGGAUGGAAGUGUGAUGGAGAGGCAUUGAAAGGUUGAGUAAACACUUGAACAC
Long non-coding RNA from Stylophora pistillata, 427 nucleotides. The record is from RefSeq and is a predicted model, not a curated record. Lineage: Eukaryota; Metazoa; Cnidaria; Anthozoa; Scleractinia; Pocilloporidae.